UACAGAGGUGGCAAGCGUUGUUCGGAAUUACUGGGCGUAAAGGGCGCGUAGGCGGUCUUCUAAGUCUUGUGUGAAAUCCCUCGGCUCAACUGAGGAACUGCACGGGAUACUGGAAGACUUGAGUUCGGGAGAGGGAAGCGGAAUUCCGGGUGUAGCGGUGAAAUGCGUAGAUAUACGGAGGAACACCUGCGGCGAAGGCGGGUAGCUGGGCCAACACUGACGCUGAGACGCGAAAGCUAGGGGAGCAAACGGG
RNAcentral lists this ribosomal RNA (253 nucleotides) under uncultured bacterium. Its description in RNAcentral is "partial 16S ribosomal RNA". It matches the Rfam family "Bacterial small subunit ribosomal RNA", at positions 524 to 776 of the family's 1533-position model. The record is from RNAcentral.